Molecule: ribosomal RNA, 372 nt
Filed under: uncultured soil bacterium
Lineage: Bacteria
Description: bacterial SSU rRNA
Rfam family: Bacterial small subunit ribosomal RNA
Source: RNAcentral
AGAUUGAACGCUGGCGGCAUGCCUUACACAUGCAAGUCGAACGGCAGCACGGGAGCAAUCCUGGUGGCGAGUGGCGAACGGGUGAGUAAUACAUCGGAACGUGCCCAAUCGUGGGGGAUAACGCAGCGAAAGCUGUGCUAAUACCGCAUAAGAUCUACGGAUGAAAGCGAGGGGAUCGCAAGACCUUGCGCGAAUGGAGCGGCCGAUGGCAGAUUAGGUAGUUGGUGAGGUAAAGGCUCACCAAGCCUUCGAUCUGUAGCUGGUCUGGAGAGGACGACCAGCCACACUGGGACUGAGACACGGCCCAGACUCCGUACGGGAGCAGCAGGUGGGAAUUUUGGACAAGUGGACGAAAGCGUGAUCCGAGCCAGU